UACGUAGGGGGCAAGCGUUAUCCGGAUUUACUGGGUGUAAAGGGAGCGUAGACGGUGAUGCAAGUCAGAAGUGAAAGCCCGGGGCUUAACCCCGGAACGGCUUUGGAAACUGAGCAGCUAGAGUGCUGGAGAGGUAAGUGGAAUUCCUAGUGUAGCGGUGAAAUGCGUAGAUAUUAGGAGGAACACCAGUGGCGAAGGCGGCUUACUGGACUGUAACUGACGUUGAGGCUCGAAAGCGUGGGGAGCAAACAGG
RNAcentral lists this ribosomal RNA (253 nucleotides) under uncultured Lachnospiraceae bacterium. RNAcentral describes it as "partial 16S ribosomal RNA". It matches the Rfam family "Bacterial small subunit ribosomal RNA", at positions 524 to 776 of the family's 1533-position model. The record is from RNAcentral. Lineage: Bacteria; Bacillati; Bacillota; Clostridia; Lachnospirales; Lachnospiraceae.